This 234-nucleotide ribosomal RNA is filed under the name uncultured bacterium. Its description in RNAcentral is "partial 16S ribosomal RNA". It matches the Rfam family "Bacterial small subunit ribosomal RNA", at positions 99 to 334 of the family's 1533-position model. The record is from RNAcentral.
CGAACGGGUGAGUAAUAUAUCGGAACGUACCCAAGAGUGGGGGGACGAACCAGUCGAAAGAUUGGCUAAUACCGCAUACGAUCUAAGGAUGAAAGUGGGGGACCUUCGGGCCUCACGCCCCUGGAGCGGCCGAUAGCUGAUUAGCUAGUUGGUGGGGUAAAGGCCUACCAAGGCGAUGAUCAGUAACUGGUCUGAGAGGACGAUCAGCCACACUGGGACUGAGACACGGCCCAG